This 316-nucleotide unclassified non-coding RNA is filed under the name fungal sp. Its description in RNAcentral is "partial internal transcribed spacer region". The stretch from base 1 to 46 matches the Rfam family "Eukaryotic small subunit ribosomal RNA", at positions 1786 to 1831 of the family's 1831-position model. The record is from RNAcentral. Lineage: Eukaryota; Fungi.
AAGUCGUAACAAGGUUUCCGUAGGUGAACCUGCGGAAGGAUCAUUACAACGUAUCCACGUAUAAACCUUUGUGAACUGUUUGUCAACCGCACGGUGAGGUCUAUCGAAAAGCGCAAGCGACCGGAAAAUAGCUUGCGCCCGCCUUUUCUCUAACGAAAGGGGGAUACCACAUUGUGUUUCCGUUUUUUCUUAUUAACCACAUGUACCCCUAACAAAUGUACACAUUUCAAGCGACGUUGACGAAAGUCACAACUGCUUGUAAAUUUCUAAUAAGAAAUUCUACGCACAACUCUUAGCAACGGAUAUCUAGGCUCUC